RNAcentral lists this ribosomal RNA (1004 nucleotides) under Vibrio cholerae. RNAcentral describes it as "partial 23S ribosomal RNA". It matches the Rfam family "Bacterial large subunit ribosomal RNA", at positions 1 to 1051 of the family's 2925-position model. The record is from RNAcentral. Lineage: Bacteria; Pseudomonadati; Pseudomonadota; Gammaproteobacteria; Vibrionales; Vibrionaceae.
GUUGUAUGGUUAAGUGACUAAGCGUACACGGUGGAUGCCUGGGCAGUCAGAGGCGAUGAAGGACGUACUAACUUGCGAUAAGCGCAGAUAAGGCAGUAAGAGCCGUUUGAGUCUGCGAUUUCCGAAUGGGGAAACCCAACUGCAUAAGCAGUUACUGUUAACUGAAUACAUAGGUUAACAGAGCAAACCGGGGGAACUGAAACAUCUAAGUACCCCGAGGAGAAGAAAUCAACCGAGAUUCCGGUAGUAGCGGCGAGCGAACCUGGAUUAGCCCUUAAGCACUCGGUGAAGUAGGUGAACAAGCUGGAAAGCUUGGCGAUACAGGGUGAUAGCCCCGUAACCGACGCUUCAUCGAGCGUGAAAUCGAGUAGGGCGGGACACGUGAUAUCCUGUCUGAAUAUGGGGGGACCAUCCUCCAAGGCUAAAUACUCCUGACUGACCGAUAGUGAACCAGUACCGUGAGGGAAAGGCGAAAAGAACCCCUGUGAGGGGAGUGAAAUAGAACCUGAAACCGUGUACGUACAAGCAGUAGGAGCACCUUCGUGGUGUGACUGCGUACCUUUUGUAUAAUGGGUCAGCGACUUAUAUUCAGUGGCAAGGUUAACCGUAUAGGGGAGCCGUAGCGAAAGCGAGUCUUAACUGGGCGUUCAGUCUCUGGAUAUAGACCCGAAACCGGGUGAUCUAGCCAUGGGCAGGUUGAAGGUUGAGUAACAUCAACUGGAGGACCGAACCGACUAAUGUUGAAAAAUUAGCGGAUGACUUGUGGCUAGGGGUGAAAGGCCAAUCAAACUCGGAGAUAGCUGGUUCUCCCCGAAAGCUAUUUAGGUAGCGCCUCGGACGAAUACUACUGGGGGUAGAGCACUGUUAAGGCUAGGGGGUCAUCCCGACUUACCAACCCUUUGCAAACUCCGAAUACCAGUAAGUACUAUCCGGGAGACACACGGCGGGUGCUAACGUCCGUCGUGGAGAGGGAAACAACCCAGACCGCCAGCUAAGGUCCCAAA